RNAcentral lists this signal recognition particle RNA (327 nucleotides) under Candidatus Bathyarchaeota archaeon. Its description in RNAcentral is "signal recognition particle sRNA". It matches the Rfam family "Archaeal signal recognition particle RNA". RNAcentral also lists the same sequence under 1 other name. The record is from RNAcentral. Lineage: Archaea; Thermoproteati; Candidatus Bathyarchaeota.
CGGCGGGUCUUAGGCGGGGGGCUAGGGGUCCCCUGAGAGGCAAACGGCCUCGACCGCAAACCCCCUAUACGGCGGGCCGAAAGCCGGGGUGAGGCGCGUAAGGCCGCUGGCCCAGCCAUCCUUAAGCAAUGAAUACCUGUCCCCUGGGGCUAGCGGUCGCGGAGCACCCUUCGUAGGAGGGGUGUAACCGCGUUUGCCGGGCGAACCUGGCCAGGCCCGGGAGGGAGCAACCUAAGCCCGGACGCUUAGUGCUCAGGGGGUGCGGGUAUGAGUGGCGGGCUGGCUUGGGUCUGCGGAUUCUGCGUGUCGAGCCUCGGUGACCCGCCG